RNAcentral lists this ribosomal RNA (253 nucleotides) under uncultured bacterium. RNAcentral's name for it is "partial 16S ribosomal RNA". It matches the Rfam family "Bacterial small subunit ribosomal RNA", at positions 524 to 776 of the family's 1533-position model. The record is from RNAcentral.
UACGUAGGGGGCUAGCGUUGUCCGGAAUUAUUGGGCGUAAGGAGCGUGUAGGCGGUUCGAUAAGUCUGCUGUAAAAGUCGGGGGCUCAACCCUCGAAGGCCGGUGGAUACUGUCGAGCUAGAGUACGGAAGAGGCGAGUGGAAUUCCUGGUGUAGCGGUGAAAUGCGCAGAUAUCAGGAAGAACACCAAUGGCGAAGGCAGCUCUCUGGGACGGUACUGACGCUGAGACGCGAAAGCGUGGGGAGCGAACAGG